UCGGUUGGAUUGCUCAAUGCCAAGACAAAGAGCUCUUUGAUCAUGGGCUAGAAAAAAGGGUUAAAGGAUGGUUGAGAAAGAAUUCAGGAAAGAAUGAUCCUGUUCCCGCUUAGAGGAGGACAGAGGAGCUGAAACCAAUGGGGCUGUGGAGCCUGGGGAGGAAAUUGAUGAAGAGCCGGUGUAGAAGGCAUGGCCCUCAUCAAUAUAGUCUCCUCAGUCUUUACCAGCCCCCGUCCCUGUGCUGCUACCAGAGCGCUCUCCCCCGCCCAGCUGUGCAGAUGUCACUUCCUCCAAGACAACUUGACCCUUUUCAUCACAACUAGUUUCCUCGUGUUUGUUGGGACACGUAUGGAGAAGAAUUCCUUAAGCUGACUGAUCGCCAAGAAAGAACCUGCAAAUCCUCCUGUGUUGUCGUGAAAGCCAUCACUAGGCAGCUUUCUUGGGCCUUGACUCACAUCAGCAGCAUAGGGCACUCCACACGGAUGAGGAACUGGGUUGCUUUGGACAAGUCAGUCUCUUAUGACUUCUGUUUCUUUCGAGAACCCUGCCUAAUACAGGGGUGGAGGCUCCUAAACAUCAUCUCUAGGUUAUUGUUGAAGGUGACCUGGAUCCAGCCUACUGAACUACUUGAGUGAAAGAAGGAAAAAAACAAAAAACGGAAUGUUUGGGGUGGAAACAACAUAGAGAAAGAAGGCUUUUCUAUUUUCCUUAACAUCCCUUGUCCAUUCCAGGCAUUCUGCUUGUGUAAAGGUGAUUUAUCAGGAAUAUAUUGUUCUCAAUAUGAUCCCUGUAGAUUGUUUUUUCAUGUUCUGAAAAGGAUCUAUUCUCUCUCUCUCUCUAAAAAAGAUUUUAUUUAUUUGAGAGAGAGUAUGUGUGAGAGUGAGCUGGGGGUAGGAGCAGUGGGCGAGGGACAAGCAAGCUCCUUGCUGAGUGUGGAGCCUGACACGGGGUUUGAUCCCACGAGCCUGACCGGGAUCAUGACCUGAGCUGAAGUCAAGGUCAAAUGCCCAACCAACUGAGCCACCCAGGCACCCCUGGAAAAGAUAGGUUCCCGUAACAGCCACCAAUGAAAACGACAACUCAGAAAACCUAGUGCAAACUUGUGGCCACAAUUUAAGGACAGCAUUAAUAAAUGGCAGUGAAUUACUCAUCAUCUUCCAUGUGAUAAAUACAAUUUGUGCAUUACCUCGCUUGGUCCCCAUCCCAACAAUGUAGAGUAGCCAUGAUGUCUCCCAUGGCAAAGCUGAGGAAGCUGAAGUUCAGAAGGCUUUAGAAAGGGGGGGGGGCAUGUAGAUAGAUCGAAUGAACAGAAGUAGGAUCAACAGCCCUGCUAUUAGAUUCUGAAGCCCAUGCUAAUGUCCACAAUAGCCAAACUGGAAGGAACCAAGAUGCCCUUCAACAGAUGAAUGGAUAAAAAGUUAUGGUUCAUACAUACAAUGGAAUAUUACU
Lutra lutra (Eurasian river otter) is the source of this 1449-nucleotide long non-coding RNA. RefSeq lists it as uncharacterized. NCBI's taxonomy places the organism in Eukaryota, Metazoa, Chordata, Mammalia, Carnivora, Mustelidae. The record is from RefSeq and is a predicted model, not a curated record. The transcript has 4 exons.